UUAUCAAAAACAUGUCUUUUUGUAUUAUAUUUAAAGUCUAACCUGCCCAUUGAAUAAUUUUAAAAGGCUGCGGUAUUUUGACCGUACAAAGGUAGCAUAAUCAUUAGUUUUUUAAUUGAAAACUUGUAUGAAUGGUUCAACGAAAUAUUUUCUGUUUCAUAAAAAUUUAUAUAGAAAUUAAUUUUUUAGUUAAAAAGCUGAAAUAUAAUUAAAAGACGAGAAGACCCUAUAGAGUUUUAUAUAAAAUUAUUUAUAAUUUAUUUAUAUUAUUUAAAAUUUUAUUUAAUUUUAUAUUUUGUUGGGGUGACAGUAAAAUUUAUUAACCUUUUAUUAUUUUUAAACAAUGAUUUUUGAUUUAUUGAUCCAUUUUUUAUGAUUAAAAGAUUAAAUUACCUUAGGGAUAACAGCGUAAUUUUUUUGUAGAGUUCUUAUCGAUAAAAAUUUUUGCGACCUCGAUGUUGGAUUAAGAAUAGUUUUAGGUGUAGAAGCUUAUUAACUAGGUCUGUUCGACCUUUAAAUUCUUACGUGAUCUGAGUU
This 537-nucleotide ribosomal RNA is filed under the name Coelosia tenella. RNAcentral describes it as "partial 16S ribosomal RNA". It matches the Rfam family "Bacterial large subunit ribosomal RNA", at positions 1804 to 2611 of the family's 2925-position model. Lineage: Eukaryota; Metazoa; Arthropoda; Insecta; Diptera; Mycetophilidae. The record is from RNAcentral.